AUUAAUUAUCUAAUAUUUACAUUUUAUUUCAGCUUUAUUUCAAUUAAAGAAAAUUAAUUUAAUUUAACAAUGGGAGAUUUGGGUAUCUCCAGCUAAACCAGCAAACCACUUUUUGGGCUGUGUUAUUAUUUCCUUUUUUCACCAGCAGGGAAUGAAAGCAAGCAAGCAAGAAAGAAAAAUAAGUUCUAAAGUUUUCAUUUGUAACCCUUUGUACCCUGUUGCCAUAGAGAGAGUUCACACACAGGUCACACUGACCAGCUGAGCAGGAAUCAGACACACAGUAUCAGACAGAGGAGAACAGGAACUGCACAGAUCGGAGGAAAAGAAGAGGAAGAACAGCAGGAAAUCAGUGAAGGUGAAGUCUGGACGUACCUCCCGACCGGACAUCUCUCUCCCUCUGCCGUGUGCUGAUCCGUAAGAUCAGCAUUCCCGAAGAACGUGGGUGAGGAGUACACUGCUAUCCCAGAAUUCCCUGCCACCAGCAGCUCGUACCCUGGGACAGACCGGGGCCGUGCUGGAGGAGAGCAGGAGAGCUGCACACGG
Non-coding RNA from Pimephales promelas (fathead minnow), 543 nucleotides. NCBI's taxonomy places the organism in Eukaryota, Metazoa, Chordata, Actinopteri, Cypriniformes, Leuciscidae. The record is from RefSeq and is a predicted model, not a curated record.